ACUAUAUUUGUCCAGUGUUUUUCUAAUGUUGAUCAUGUUUUUGGGUUCAGGCAUAACGCCGGGGAGCAGCAAUUUGUAACUUUCGUAAUUUGUCCAUUUGCUUCUGAGCACCUAAAACUCACUUUGCUGGACAUCGAUCCUCUUCUUUAUUGGGUAAGAUGCUGGAUAUCUUUGCUUUAAAGCAGCUUACAAAUAAUUUCUCCUUGGAUACAAAUACAGGAGAGCGUGCGAUACAAACAAGUUCACCAUGGGUUUGAAUUUUUCUCUCUUGGCACAUGCCAAGCAGUGCAACGAGCUCGUGGGUUUGCAAGUCUCACGUCAAGUUUCUUCUGAGGUAGGCGACUGUCUCGUAUUGCUUCUUGUUUACCCAUAACGUUUUUUGUUUCAAACCUUCCUCAGCAGGAACCCUUUAAUCUUUCUUUUGCAGGCACAGGGACAGCAACUUAAUAAUGGUGCGCAUGUGACUGACACAAAUAAUCACCAUGUAAUUGAGCCUGUUCAUUCGAGGACUGAGGUAAGACGUGGAACUCACAAAAAAAAGAUAGAGAGAAAUUAAAAAAAAAACCAAAAGAAAAAACACA
Molecule: long non-coding RNA, 581 nt
Filed under: Elaeis guineensis (African oil palm)
Lineage: Eukaryota; Viridiplantae; Streptophyta; Magnoliopsida; Arecales; Arecaceae
Description: long non-coding RNA (EGUI_LNC030299)
Source: RNAcentral